This 403-nucleotide ribosomal RNA is filed under the name uncultured bacterium. RNAcentral's name for it is "partial 16S ribosomal RNA". It matches the Rfam family "Bacterial small subunit ribosomal RNA", at positions 28 to 526 of the family's 1533-position model. The record is from RNAcentral.
GACGAACGCUGGCGGCGUGCCUAAUACAUGCAAGUCGAACGCAGUGGGGACGGGUGAGUAACACGUGGGUAACCUCCCAUCAGAGGGGAUAACACUUGGAAACAGGUGCUAAACCGAUACUGAUGGAUGGACCCGCGGUGCAUUAGCUAGUUGGUGAGGUAACGGCUCACCAAGGCCACGAUGCAUAGCCGAUCUGCGAGGGUGAUCCGCCACACUGGAACUGCAACACGGCCCAGUCGCCUACGGGAGGCAGCAGUUGUGUAUCUUAGACAGUGGGCGAAAGCCUGGCCGAGCAACGCCGCGUGAGUGAAGAAGGGUUUCGGAUCGUAAAACUCUGUUUUUCGAGAAGCGGUAUCUAACCAGAAAGCCACGGCUAGCUACGUGCCAGCAGCCGCGGUAAUUC